CCUCGGGGCCCAACCUCCCAUCCGUGUUGACUUGACACCUGUUGCUUCGGCGGGCCCGCCGCGGUUCACGCCCCGGCCGCCGGGGGGUUCACGCCCCCGGGCCCGCGCCCGCCGAAGACCCCUGGAACGCUGCCUUGAAGGUUGCCGUCUGAGUAUACAAUCAAUCAAUUAAAACUUUCAACAACGGAUCUCUUGGUUCCGGCAUCGAUGAAGAACGCAGCGAAAUGCGAUAAGUAAUGUGAAUUGCAGAAUUCCGUGAAUCAUCGAAUCUUUGAACGCACAUUGCGCCCCCUGGCAUUCCGGGGGGCAUGCCUGUCCGAGCGUCAUUGCUAACCCUCCAGCCCGGCUGGUGUGUUGGGCCGCCGUCCCCCCCGGGGGACGGGCCCGAAAGGCAGCGGCGGCGUCGCGUCCGGUCCUCGAGCGUAUGGGGCUUUGUCACACGCUUCAGUAGAACCGGCCGGCUUGCUGGCCAACGACCUUCACCGGUCACCUAUAUUUUCUCUUAGGUUGACCUCGGAUCAGGUAGGGAUACCCGCUGAACUUAAGCAUAUCAAUAAGCGGAGGAAAAGAAACCAACAGGGAUUGCCCCAGUAACGGCGAGUGAAGCGGCAAGAGCUCAAAUUUGAAAUCUGGCCCCUCCGGGGUCCGAGUUGUAAUUUGCAGAGGAUGCUUCGGGCGCGGUCCCCGUCUAAGUACCCUGGAACGGGUCGUCAUAGAGGGUGAGAAUCCCGUCUGGGACGGGUGGCCGUGUCCGUGUGAAGCUCCUUCGACGAGUCGAGUUGUUUGGGAAUGCAGCUCUAAAUGGGUGGUAAAUUUCAUCUAAAGCUAAAUAUUGGCCGGGAGACCGAUAGCGCCCAAGUAGAGUGAUCGAAAGAUGAAAAGCACUUUGAAAAGAGAGUUAAACAGCACGUGAAAUUGUUGAAAGGGAAGCGCUUGCGACCAGACUCGCCCGCGGGGGUUCAGCCGGUACUCGUACCGGUGUACUCCCCCGUGGGCGGGCCAGCGUCGGUUUGGGCGGUCGGUCAAAGGCCUCCGGAAUGUGUCGCCCCCCGGGGCGUCUUAUAGCCGGAGGUGCAAUGCGGCCAGCCCGGACCGAGGAACGCGCU
This 1106-nucleotide unclassified non-coding RNA is filed under the name Paecilomyces sp. Its description in RNAcentral is "sequence contains ITS1, 5.8S rRNA gene, ITS2, 28S rRNA gene". The stretch from base 509 to 1106 matches the Rfam family "Eukaryotic large subunit ribosomal RNA", at positions 1 to 601 of the family's 3401-position model. Lineage: Eukaryota; Fungi; Ascomycota; Eurotiomycetes; Eurotiales; Thermoascaceae. The record is from RNAcentral.